CACACACACACACACACACACACACACACUCGUGACCUGGAUAUUUAGGAAAAUAAGUAAGGUAAGGAUGGGAAAGCCACAUUAGUGGCAGUCCCUGCACUGUGGGAAUUCUUUCUAAGACUAUUGUUAUGAAUCAUAAUUAAUUGUGCUUAGUAGCAACAGUAGGGACACAUGCUUAAUCUUCCAAUGGGAAAAGCAGAUGUAACAUACCUACAGACACUCUGUGGGCCUAAGUCCACAAAGACAGAAAACAGCUCAGAAAAGAGAUACCAAAAUUUUUUUGAGGCAAAAUAAUGAACCCAACCAAUUGCAGAAAUGGUAGCAUGGUAAGUUAUUUUGCGUGCUUUUUCAUUUGUCUUUGUGAUGGGCAGGAAGCCUUCUGACCCGUGACUCUGGAGGGUUGACUCGGGACAGCUUUCUCCCCUAUGGUGGCACUGAGCUGCCUGAUACUACUUUAGUGAGCACAGAACAGCAGCAUCAUGGUUGUCCCCUCCAUGGCCUACAGAAACACUUCACUUUGUUCCUGGAGGCCUCUCAGGCUUGCUAGCUGCAGUGUGGUGAGCAGCCCUGGAAGGGAGCCCAGGAGGUAAGAACCCAUGGUACAGCCAGUGGGAAACUGAAGCCCCAGUUUAUGGCCUACAAUGAUCCAAAUCCUACCAAUGAUGGGGUGUGGGAUAGGGGGUUGCUGUCUGCACCCUACCCUGGUCUCCACUGCAGAUGAACCUGCAGCCACACACAGGCGCUUGGAUGGUCUUCUGCACUGUUAAAUCUUGGGAUUUUUAUUGCUCAGGACUGGAGCACACCACUUCUGUCACAGGAUUGUUAAUCCAGAAGGAACCUAAAGCACUACCUAGGUAGGGGAAGGUGAGGCGCUGUCAUUUCACUCGCACAUGAAGCUGUGUCAUUCAAAACCCACCUUAAUGUUGAGUGUGAUCUUAGAAGUUUCCCAGUCCAAUUCUCCACAUAGCUACCCCCACUCCCUCAUCCCCAAUUAAUUGUUUGGAGGUUAAAAAGAAGCCCACCUGCUCUCCAGAACAAUGUGAGAGAAGGAGAGACAGGAGUAAGACAACCUAACCUCUACCUCAUUGGCCAACAUGGAAAAGUCAUUCGGGCUUGGCCAACUUCACUUUCCCCUUUGCUAAAGCCAAGAUAAUCUGUGUGAACAUGUGAACUAAAGCAGCCUAAAGGGUGUUGAUGGGGUCUCUUGACAUCUCAAAUAUUUGAAAAAGCGCAAUCAAUAACAUAGCAAAUGAUUGUGUUCAAAGAUAAUAUGAAAGCACAGGACAGAUACAAGGAGUGGUGGGCUCCCUUCACUAGAGCCGUCACCUGCACUAGGAACUGCCAGGGCUUCAUUCUAUAAAUCAAUAAGGAGGAGGAGUUGGUUGCUAGAUUGUAGAGUGUGGGUGGUUUUCUGUUUUGAUUGACAGGCUUAGGUCAUAUAAGCCUUAGUUUAUUCCACAUGUCCUUUCCCUUAGUCUGACGUUAAUCAAAUGCGCGUCCAAUCAUGCCUAGGACUAAGAUUGCAAAUAGAGAAUUUCCACCUGC
RNAcentral lists this long non-coding RNA (1545 nucleotides) under Mus caroli (Ryukyu mouse). RNAcentral's name for it is "predicted gene 43447 (MGP_CAROLIEiJ_G0005779.1)". Lineage: Eukaryota; Metazoa; Chordata; Mammalia; Rodentia; Muridae. The record is from RNAcentral.